UAAGCAUAUCAAUAAGCGGAGGAAAAGAAACCAACAGGGAUUGCCUCAGUAACGGCGAGUGAAGCGGCAACAGCUCAAAUUUGAAAUCUGGCCCCAGGCCCGAGUUGUAAUUUGCAGAGGAUGCUUUUGGCGCGGUGCCUUCCGAGUUCCCUGGAACGGGACGCCAUAGAGGGUGAGAGCCCCGUCUGGUUGGACACCAAGCCUUUGUAAAGCUCCUUCGACGAGUCGAGUAGUUUGGGAAUGCUGCUCUAAAUGGGAGGUACAUGUCUUCUAAAGCUAAAUACCGGCCAGAGACCGAUAGCGCACAAGUAGAGUGAUCGAAAGAUGAAAAGCACUUUGGAAAGAGAGUUAAACAGCACGUGAAAUUGUUAAAAGGGAAGCGUUUAUGACCAGACGUGGGCCGGUUAAUCAUCCAGCGUUCUCGCUGGUGCACUUUGCCGGUCCAGGCCAGCAUCAGUUCGUUGCGGGGGAUAAAGGCUUUGGGAAUGUAGCUCCUCGGAGUGUUAUAGCCCUCUGCGUAAUACCCUGCGGCGGACUGAGGUUCGCGCUCUGCAAGGAUGCUGGCGUAAUGGUCAUCAACGACCCGUCUUGAAACACGGACCAAGGAGUCGUCUUCGUAUGCGAGUGUUCGGGUGUAAAACCCCUACGCGAAAUGAAAGUGAACGCAGGUGAGAGCUUCGGCGCAUCAUCGACCGAUCCUGAUGUUCUCGGAUGGAUUUGAGUAAGAGCAUACGGGGCCGGACCCGAAAGAAGGUGAACUAUGCCUGUAUAGGGUGAAGCCAGAGGAAACUCUGGUGGAGGCUCGCAGCGGUUCUGACGUGCAAAUCGAUCGUCAAAUAUGGGCAUGGGGGCGAAAGACUAAUCGAACCUUCUAGUAGCUGGUUUCCGCCGAA
RNAcentral lists this ribosomal RNA (893 nucleotides) under Striatibotrys neoeucylindrosporus. RNAcentral describes it as "Striatibotrys sp. NPS-2020a partial large subunit ribosomal RNA". It matches the Rfam family "Eukaryotic large subunit ribosomal RNA", at positions 35 to 965 of the family's 3401-position model. Lineage: Eukaryota; Fungi; Ascomycota; Sordariomycetes; Hypocreales; Stachybotryaceae. The record is from RNAcentral.